UAGGGAAUCUUCCACAAUGGACGCAAGUCUGAUGGAGCAACGCCGCGUGAGUGAAGAAGGUUUUCGGACCGUAAAGCUCUGUUGUUGGUGAAGAAGGAUAGAGGUAGUAACUGGCCUUUAUUUGACGGUAAUCAACCAGAAAGUCACGGCUAACUACGUGCCAGCAGCCGCGGUAAUACGUAGGUGGCAAGCAUUGUCCGGAUUUAUUGGGCGUAAAGCGAGCGCAGGCGGAAGAAUAAGUCUGAUGUGAAAGCCCUCGGCUUAACCGAGGAAUUGCAUCGGAAACUGUUUUCUUGAGUGCAGAAGAGGAGAGUAGAACUCCAUGUGUAGCGGUGGAAUGCGUAGAUAUAUGGAAGAGUACCAGUGGCGAAGGCGGCUCUCUGGUCUGCAACUGACGCUGAGGCUCGAAAGCAUGGGUAGCGAACAGGAUUAGAUACCCUGGUAGUCCAUGCCGUAAACGAUGAGUGCUAAGUGUUGGGAGGCUUCCGCCUCUCAGUGCUGCAGCUAACGCAUUAAGCACUCCGCCUGGGGAGUACGACCGCAAGGUUGAAAC
Molecule: ribosomal RNA, 553 nt
Filed under: uncultured bacterium
Lineage: Bacteria
Description: partial 16S ribosomal RNA
Rfam family: Bacterial small subunit ribosomal RNA
Source: RNAcentral